UUUUAAAAAAAAAAUUUUUUUGGAAAGAAUUUUUUUUUUCACCCCGGGGCUUCCUCCAACUGUCUUUCUCCUGAGGAAAAUUCCCGGGGCCCCCUCCGGGGUGUUCCUAUGCGACCCCCCCCCCCCGGGGCGCCCCCCCGGGCGGGGCGGGGGCACGGGGGGACUCCUACGGGAGGCAGCAGUAGGGAAUCUUCCACAAUGGACGAAAGUCUGAUGGAGCAACGCCGCGUGAGUGAAGAAGGGUUUCGGCUCGUAAAACUCUGUUGUUAAAGAAGAACAUAUCUGAGAGUAACUGUUCAGGUAUGACGGUACUAACCAGAGCACGAAUUCGC
This 332-nucleotide ribosomal RNA is filed under the name uncultured Pediococcus sp. Its description in RNAcentral is "partial 16S ribosomal RNA". It matches the Rfam family "Bacterial small subunit ribosomal RNA", at positions 130 to 501 of the family's 1533-position model. Lineage: Bacteria; Bacillati; Bacillota; Bacilli; Lactobacillales; Lactobacillaceae. The record is from RNAcentral.